RNAcentral lists this ribosomal RNA (496 nucleotides) under uncultured bacterium. RNAcentral's name for it is "partial 16S ribosomal RNA". It matches the Rfam family "Bacterial small subunit ribosomal RNA", at positions 28 to 507 of the family's 1533-position model. The record is from RNAcentral.
GAUGAACGCUGGCGGCGUGCCUAAUACAUGCAAGUCGAGCGAACGGACGAGAAGCUUGCUUCUCUGAUGUUAGCGGCGGACGGGUGAGUAACACGUGGAUAACCUACCUAUAAGACUGGGAUAACUUCGGGAAACCGGAGCUAAUACCGGAUAAUAUUUUGAACCGCAUGGUUCAAAAGUGAAAGACGGUCUUGCUGUCACUUAUAGAUGGAUCCGCGCUGCAUUAGCUAGUUGGUAAGGUAACGGCUUACCAAGGCAACGAUGCAUAGCCGACCUGAGAGGGUGAUCGGCCACACUGGAACUGAGACACGGUCCAGACUCCUACGGGAGGCAGCAGUAGGGAAUCUUCCGCAAUGGGCGAAAGCCUGACGGAGCAACGCCGCGUGAGUGAUGAAGGUCUUCGGAUCGUAAAACUCUGUUAUUAGGGAAGAACAUAUGUGUAAGUAACUGUGCACAUCUUGACGGUACCUAAUCAGAAACCACGGCUAACUACGUG